ACUAGUGCUCCGAUCUCCCAGAACGAAAUCCUCCUUGGGUGUUCCGGGUUCGUCCAUGUGUAGCUAGGAAAGAUCCAAUACUCAUCCUUCAUGAAAUUGGAAGAAAAAGGAAUAUGAAGGAAGUUAGCUAAUUACCGUAGAUCAUCAAACAAUAUCUUUAAGAGUUCCAUACAACGACAUUCGGAUUUCUGAUGAACAAAUCAUUCAAGUUAGCUCCUUAACAAAUAUUAAUUCAAAAAGAUAAAUCUUCCAUAACCCAUAAUCAAGUGAUACCAGUCUGAACUAUAGUUUCCAAGGAAUUGAUAACUAAACUAUAAAGCUCAAAUCUUUUAGCUAAUUCUCAACCACAAACCCUAAACCCAAUCAAACAGAACCAACCCAUAAGAAAUAUGAUACGAUUCAGUAGCAAUAAUUAGAGCUCCAGAGACACAAUUUUGGGAGCAAAUGGGUUAAAACAAAGAUGGAACUCCCUCAAGUUUGCAGUAACUAGGAUCCACCCCCACCAUGGCUCCAAACGAAUCUCAAUUCAUAUCAUCAUCCCAUUAGAUCAAAAGAAAACAUCCAAAAUUACCUUGAACGGUGGCGGGUUGCAUUUAAGUGGCGGAAAAUGAGGAUAAUGGAAAUGGAAUGUCUAGCUAGCCCGAUAAAGAAUCAAACCUAUGUCUAGGUUUGCAGCUGCUGAUCUCCAUAUAAACCUACUAUCAAGCUCCCCAUCUAACUCGGUGUUCUAGCAGUGAUUUUGGGGAGGAUAUGUGAGCCGCAGAAGAAG
This 769-nucleotide long non-coding RNA is filed under the name Linum usitatissimum (flax). RNAcentral's name for it is "long non-coding RNA (LUSI_LNC002063)". The record is from RNAcentral. Lineage: Eukaryota; Viridiplantae; Streptophyta; Magnoliopsida; Malpighiales; Linaceae.